RNAcentral lists this long non-coding RNA (3075 nucleotides) under Daphnia pulicaria. RNAcentral's name for it is "uncharacterized LOC124311249". The record is from RNAcentral. Lineage: Eukaryota; Metazoa; Arthropoda; Branchiopoda; Diplostraca; Daphniidae.
GCUACUCUGGAUCCGACUACACGACCCGUGAGGAAUCACAGGUGCAAAAGAAGAUGCAAGUGUAACCACCUUUUUCAUAUUCAUGCUACCUUGCCCACUCCCCCUCCUAUUGAUAUCAUUCAAAAUGGACGCUGACUUGUUGACAGUGCGUUAAUUAACUUGUGACGGUGUGAUUGUUUCGAGAGUUAUUCACUGCAUUUUGGUGUUUUUGACUAACUGAAUCGCUGUAAAACAGAGCAGCAAGCAGAGCAACGUUGUUUAACAUAGACCUUCCUGGUUCACCCAUCGUGUCAUUUGACAAUUUCACAAUUGUUUUGUGGUUUCUGAUACGAGGUCAUUGGGCCUAUGACUCCGACUCCAGGUUUUAACUGAACGAAAAAUUCUAGGAAACCGACUGAAACUGAAUCGUCAAUUCUUCGAACUUGCCAGGAAAGUUACGUAAUGGAUAGCGAUAGACGUAUAGGCGAGCUCGUUCUUCAAGAAUCGUGAGAAUUCGACUCUGCCCACGUGAGUUAGGAACUUUAAAGAGACGGCACCUCCAAGUAAAUCACGACGCUGUAGCUGUACGACUGUAGUUGCUGCUUUCCUAAUAAAUACUGAUUUUGAGGCAACGCUGCGUUUUUUUUUACAUGGCACAGAAUUGACAGCACCUUGACCAGUUUUGACACCUUCGAGGCAGAAGCCUAGGCGCCACCCUAUUGGCAUUUCCAUAUCUCUGACGUUGUUCGAAAAUUUCGUAGGCUAAUUGCUUCACGGUAAUUACCUUUGGCUGCUAAAACUGAAUUGCAGAUCUUCGUUCCAGCAACAGUCGGAAAAUCUCAGCCACGCCGGCUGCAUCGAAUUCGUCCACGAGCUUCAACAAGAGCAUUACCGCCACCCACUUUCUGCAUUAAACGCCAUCUAGCGAAGAAGGAAACAAACACAGAAUGCUGCCAUCUAGCAAUGAGAAAAAACAAGAGAAGAAUCAAAGACUUGACGGAACUCACGGAAGUGACAAGAUACAACAAGUAAACACCAAAUGGCGGCGAGUUGUUAAGCAUGGUGUCGGGCUGUCGGCGAUAGUCCCAAGAUUUGGCGUGAUAUCAAGUACCAGACUCACUUGUAAGUUGUGACUUAUUUUCAUUGUACUGAAUAACUCUCUCAAGGUGUUAUUUUAUCGAGUUUCAAUUCCUAAGCUUAGAAAGAUUAGCAGCAAGAGUUGGAACAAAGAAUAGUUCAGUAGGCCUAAAAUUGAACAACCCUGAUGACAAGGAUGACUUUGGGGAGGAGAGGCUCACAGAUGACAUGACUUGUGGACUGAAGCAUAAAACAUAUUGCAAAUGAGACUAUAGUAUUGACGUAUAUGACCGAGUGGUUAACACGUCGGGGAAGUGAGAAUUAGCGGCUCCGGAGGAGGCCUCAACGAGGACGAUUUGGGUCACUCGGGCGAAUCCAUGGCUCGAUUUUCAUAUUUUGUUGAAUUAGUGAAUAAUAACAAUAAGAUGAGGAAUACGGAUCAGAAACAGUGUUGGAGUAAAAUGUUGGAUUUGUCAUUGAAGUUGGAUAGAAAGGAGGAGAAUAUUCCCAGUUGUUCCAGUAGUAGGAGGGAUAGUCUUGCUGCUGUGGUUGCUGCUCCGUUCGGAAUCCAUUCGAGUUAUUGAAAUUGGACUGGGGACUAACGACGUAUUGUGGACAGCUGGUAGCAAGCCAUUCGGAUUGAAGUGGAGACGACGAUGAUGAUUCGGACGUCGAGUAGUUGAUUGAUUCCACGGGUGGAACUGCCGGAGGAUCCGAAUAAAAUCCAGGAGUUGGAAGGACUUGAGUUGAAACAUACUAACCUUGUCGACUUUGACGAGAAACGUAAGGCGGUGAUCGACGAUGUUGGCGAUUUGUUUCACGAGUUGAGGUCGGGACUCGUGAAGAUCCAAGUUGGCGUGCACGUCGACGGCGAUUCUGAAACCACCACUAAUGCAAUCAAGAAAGAAAUUAAUAUGAGAGACGCCAAUCAACUGGGCGAUGCGUCGGCGACCUUCUCGAUUGGGAAACGGAUCUCUGUUGAACUCUGCGUCGAGUAGCUCCAGCUGGACCUCGUCGUAAAAGUGGCGCUGACGACCGGAUGCUGAAGAAGACUUAGUGGUGGAAACAACUGGAUAAUAAUCUAAAAAUUAUCCAGGCGGAAGUACUCAAUCGUCAUUGCUGUCCAGAAUCAACAGAUUAUUGGAAGAUUUAGGUAUCAACCUUGCGGUGUUUCUUCUCGUCUUUGCCAGUAUAAGAUAAUCCAAAACAUCCGGCCAGCUCGGCGUUUGACCUCUCAAUGGCAACGUUUGUAGAACCCUACAAGGAAGGACACAAGAAAAUGUUAUAAAAAGCACUUUGAUUGUAAAAUUCGGGAGAAAAAAAGAUUUUACUAUAAUAGUAAGAAAAUCACUCAGGCUUCGUUUGCACCUUUCUCCCGUGGCAAAAACCUUUCGAUGCCGUAAGUUAGGACUACAGUGACCCAACGACACCAGCCCCUUGAAGGUGGCAGUCACGACAUUAGAUAAUCAGCAUCCCGUUUGACUGGAGAAACUACCGAUGUCGGCCGAGUAUCUCUUCUUCUUUAAAUGUCUUCGUGUAUGCCCAUGUGAGUGUGGGUGUAUUCACGAGGACACCCUUUUUCUCGACUGGUGGAUUCAACUCUUCAGCGGAUGAAACACUUGUGUAUGGAUGCCUGGCCAUAUUUCCCAAGCUUAUAAAGAUGAGAGCCAGAGGAGAAAUAGAAUGAAAGCUCGAAAAAUUGAUGGGACAAGGUGUCGAACUCUACUCUCGCCAGCCUUUAGCGUCAAACGUUAUCAUCCUUAAAUCUCUCAACGCAUCUCCACUGCCUAGUUAGUUAAAGGAAAAGUUAAACUUAAUUUUAAUUUAGUUUAUCGUCGCUGCUCUCUUGGCCGAUGCUGUCGCCGCUCCUUCCGGCUACCAAUCAACCCAUAGAGAUUCCAGUUACUUGACGUCUCCCAGCAACGCUUCUUCCGGCUACAACAAGGACAGCAAAUAUGGCGGAAUCACCAUCACCAGCCAACACGACGUCCGCAAUCUCGACGGAAGCUGCAAAUGAGG